CUUUAUCAGGGAAACAAAAAAGUUUAAUUUCAGAUAUAUACACAGAACAAUUUUGGUAUAGAAACAAUAUCACAUUGGUAUAUGCAAAUAUCAGAUACAGCUUUUCAUUCUUGUUUAAAUGUCAUCUACCUGUAAGUCAAGGUCAUCAAUAAGAAGUAGUUCACUUGGUUGAAAGUUUUGAACCAAAACCUUACAUGUAUGUAGCACGGUGUAACACAGCAAGCACUAAUAAAAAUAAACACACACAAAUUUUAAUAGAAAUUUAAACAAUCAGAAAUAUUUUAUUUCAAAUAUUCCUGCAAGUAAUAGCACACUCAAAACUUUCAAAGCAUCUCAAACAUUUCAAAUAGAAUCUCACUCCAACUUUUCAAGAAGCAUCCCUCUCUACAAUUACAUGUACAAAUCCAUGUCUAUAAG
Molecule: non-coding RNA, 417 nt
Organism: Biomphalaria pfeifferi
Lineage: Eukaryota; Metazoa; Mollusca; Gastropoda; Planorbidae
Source: the annotation of a GenBank genome assembly